UACGGGGGGGGCAAGCGUUGUUCGGAAUUACUGGGCGUAAAGGGCUCGUAGGUUGCCAACUAAGUCGGACGUGAAAUCCCUCGGCUUAACCGGGGAACUGCGUCCGAUACUGGUUGGCUUGAGUUUGGGAGAGGGAUGCGGAAUUCCAGGUGUAGCGGUGAAAUGCGUAGAUAUCUGGAGGAACACCGGUGGCGAAGGCGGCAUCCUGGACCGACAUUGACGCUGAUGAGCGAAAGCUAGGGGAGCAAACGGG
Molecule: ribosomal RNA, 253 nt
Filed under: uncultured bacterium
Lineage: Bacteria
Description: partial 16S ribosomal RNA
Rfam family: Bacterial small subunit ribosomal RNA
Source: RNAcentral